Molecule: long non-coding RNA, 1025 nt
Filed under: Citrus x clementina
Lineage: Eukaryota; Viridiplantae; Streptophyta; Magnoliopsida; Sapindales; Rutaceae
Description: Citrus clementina (C. clementina) long non-coding RNA (CCLE_LNC000129)
Source: RNAcentral
GCUGCUCUGAAACAAAAAUCAAUGGCUAUCCCUCUAACCAAAAUAAUCUUCCCCUACAACAUACACAUGCAAAAGACCUUUCCACUCAAGUAUCAUGUUCCAACUCCAAUUACAGGAGGUCAAGUACCAUUUCUAAGGCUGGCAAGAAGAGAAGAUAGACAACAAAAAUGUAGAGAAGUUAUUGCUUUGUCCCAAGAAGACUACUGCACUGUAGCAGAGCUUGACAUAAAGGAAGCAAAAGACAAUAAUGAAGAAAUUACAAUACCUAAAGAACCUGAGAGGAAGUUAGCAGACAUUUGGCGUGACAUCCAUGGUGUGGAUGAUUGGGAUGGUAUGCUAGACCCCCUGGAUCCCCUCUUGCGAUCUGAGCUAAUACGGUAUGGGGAAAUGGUACAAGCUUGUUAUGAUGCCUUCGAUUUUGAACCAUUCUCCAAGUAUUGUGGCUGUUGUAAAUAUGCACCAAGUGAGUUUUUUGAGUGUCUUGGCAUGACACAGCAUGGGUAUCAGGUAAACUCUUACAUUCAUGCCACAUACAACAUAAAUCUCCCAAACAUUUUCCAGAGAUCACUCCGACCUGAUGCAUGGAGUCACACAGCAAAUUGGAUUGGGUAUAUUGCAGUUUCCAAUGAUGAAAUGUCAGCACAUCUAGGACAAAGGGACAUAACCAUUGCUUGGCGGGGCACAAAGACAAAGCUGGAGUGGAUAGCUGACUUCAUGUAUUUUCUAAGGCCCAUUACAUUGAAAAAGAUCCCCUGUCCGGAUCCCAGGGUCAAAGUUGAGUCUGGGUUCCUCAAUCUCUAUACCAACAAGGAUCAAAGUAGUCAAAUUUGCAAGCGCUCGGCAAGAGAGCAUGUUUUAGAAGAAGUCAGGAGACUAGUAAGUCAGUACCAGAAUGAGAACUUGAGCAUCACAAUCACAGGUCACAGCCUAGGGAGUGCAUUAGCAAUACUAAGUGCAUAUGACAUAGCUGAGACUGGGGUAGAUGUCAUGGAUGAUGGGCAGGCAGUCCCUAUAUGUGUUUUCUC